Molecule: long non-coding RNA, 922 nt
Filed under: Carica papaya (papaya)
Lineage: Eukaryota; Viridiplantae; Streptophyta; Magnoliopsida; Brassicales; Caricaceae
Description: long non-coding RNA (CPAP_LNC005628)
Source: RNAcentral
CAAGCAGUGAAAUCUGGUGAAUAAAAAGAAAGACAACGUGAAAAUAUGAUAUGUGACCGACAUAUAGACCACGGCCGUUAGAUGUGACCGACGGAUGGACCGCGCAAUGUGAUGGUGGCGCGAAAACCAGAGGCACGCAACACAAACGACAGUGACACAUCGCCUAAGUGACGGUGGAAUGCUGCCAAACAAUAGCGCACGAUUCCCAAGGGGGUGGCACGCACUGCCUGAGGUAGUACAUGUAGCCCCAACCUACCAUGCGCUGCAAGCUUAGCCUACCGCACGCACAGGUAUAUGGCAUGCUGGCCUACAUGUGCAACGGUCUUCCCCGCAUCAUUCCUAUAAAAGAAAGGAAGACAGGAGUAAGAGGCUUAAUCUUUGAAAAUAGGACAUUUAUCUUCCCUAGGUACUCUAAAAAGUUUAUCUAUCCUAGGCCUCAGUUCAAGGGAUUUGUUCCGUGAUAACCUGGCUCUGGUACCACCUGUGACAUCCAAGGUGUCAAUUAAGGCAAAUGGGUAUCAGAUACAGAUUCAGAAUAACGAAUGGAUGAUAAUAUUUAUGCAGCGGAAUCAAAUGUUAACAAAUCCCUUACAAAUAUAUAUAGUUUCUAAAUACAUACAUCAGUGAAGCCAGAAGUGGCUACAAAAUACAAACAUAAGGGCCACUUCUUUCACUAUGCUUAUGGAAUUCAUAAGAGUGCAGGAACAGUUAACCACUUAAACUUGUGGAUCCAGGGGAUCCUCAUAGACUUCCAAAGGAAGGUUUGCCUGCAGUUCCUCAUUUUCUUCCUCAUCUAGGGGAGAAUGGAAAGAGUGAGUUCCAUAUGCUCAAUAAGGAAAACAGUAUAAAAUUAACAUUGUAAGAUUUCAAAAGUUUAUUAUUUUAUCUCACCGUUUGGUUUUCUUGUUUACCUAACUCAUCA